This 253-nucleotide ribosomal RNA is filed under the name uncultured bacterium. RNAcentral's name for it is "partial 16S ribosomal RNA". It matches the Rfam family "Bacterial small subunit ribosomal RNA", at positions 524 to 776 of the family's 1533-position model. The record is from RNAcentral.
GACAGAGGGUGCUAGCGUUGUUCGGAAUGACUGGGCGUAAAGGAUGCGUAGGCGGCUAUAUUAGUCGAGCGUGAAAGCCCCGGGCUCAACCUGGGAACUGCGUUCGAUACUGUAUAGCUUGAGACCGGGAGAGGAAAGCGGAAUUUCUAGUGUAGAGGUGAAAUUCGUAGAUAUUAGAAGGAACAUCAGAGGCGAAGGCGGCUUUCUGGACCGGUACUGACGCUGAGGCAUGAAAGCGUGGGGAGCAAACAGG